Molecule: ribosomal RNA, 253 nt
Filed under: uncultured bacterium
Lineage: Bacteria
Description: partial 16S ribosomal RNA
Rfam family: Bacterial small subunit ribosomal RNA
Source: RNAcentral
GACGGAGGGUGCUAGCGGUGUUCGGAAUUACUGGGUGUAAAGGGCGCGUAGGCAGUUUAUCAAGUUGGGCGUGAAAGCCCCGGGCUUAACCUGGGAAUUGCGUUUGAUACUGGUAGACUAGAGGACGGGAGAGGAAAGUGGAAUUCCUAGUGUAGAAGUGAAAUUCGUAGAUAUUAGGAGGAACACCAGAGGCGAAGGCGACUUUCUGGACCGAUUCUGACGCUGAGGCGCGAAAGCGUGGGGAGCAAACAGG